UACAGAGGAUGCAAGCGUUAUCCGGAAUGAUUGGGCGUAAAGCGUCUGUAGGUGGCUUUUUAAGUCCGCCGUCAAAUCCCAGGGCUCAACUCUGGACAGGCGGUGGAAACUACCAGUACGGUAGGGGCAGAGGGAAUUCCUGGUGUAGCGGUGAAAUGCGCAGAUAUCAGGAGGAACACCGGUGGCGAAGGCGGGUCUCUGGGCCGAUACUGACGCUGAGGAGCGAAAGCGUGGGGAGCGAACAGG
This 246-nucleotide ribosomal RNA is filed under the name uncultured bacterium. RNAcentral's name for it is "partial 16S ribosomal RNA". It matches the Rfam family "Bacterial small subunit ribosomal RNA", at positions 524 to 776 of the family's 1533-position model. The record is from RNAcentral.